CUGGUGGGUAGUUUGACUGGGGCGGUCUCCUCCUAAAGAGUAACGGAGGAGCACGAAGGUUGGCUAAUCCUGGUCGGACAUCAGGAGGUUAGUGCAAUGGCAUAAGCCAGCUUGACUGCGAGCGUGACGGCGCGAGCAGGUGCGAAAGCAGGUCAUAGUGAUCCGGUGGUUCUGAAUGGAAGGGCCAUCGCUCAACGGAUAAAAGGUACUCCGGGGAUAACAGGCUGAUACCGCCCAAGAGUUCAUAUCGACGGCGGUGUUUGGCACCUCGAUGUCGGCUCAUCACAUCCUGGGGCUGAAGUAGGUCCCAAGGGUAUGGCUGUUCGCCAUUUAAAGUGGUACGCGAGCUGGGUUUAGAACGUCGUGAGACAGUUCGGUCCCUAUCUGCCGUGGGCGCUGGAGAACUGAGGGGGGCUGCUCCUAGUACGAGAGGACCGGAGUGGACGCAUCACUGGUGUUCGGGUUGUCAUGCCAAUGGCACUGCCCGGUAGCUAAAUGCGGAAGAGAUAAGUGCUGAAAGCAUCUAAGCACGAAACUUGCCCCGAGAUGAGUUCUCCCUGACUCCUUGAGAGUCCUGAAGGAACGUUGAAGACGACGACGUUGAUAGGCCGGGUGUGUAAGCGCAGCGAUGCGUUGAGCUAACCGGUACUAAUGAACCGUGAGGCUUAACCUU
Molecule: ribosomal RNA, 673 nt
Filed under: Escherichia coli
Lineage: Bacteria; Pseudomonadati; Pseudomonadota; Gammaproteobacteria; Enterobacterales; Enterobacteriaceae
Description: partial 23S ribosomal RNA
Rfam family: Bacterial large subunit ribosomal RNA
Source: RNAcentral